Molecule: long non-coding RNA, 1003 nt
Organism: Oncorhynchus tshawytscha (Chinook salmon)
Lineage: Eukaryota; Metazoa; Chordata; Actinopteri; Salmoniformes; Salmonidae
Source: Ensembl
UUUAAUGUUAAUUGUACAAUACUGACUCGGUUUUACAAAAUCUUUCAUUGACAAUAGUUUCACUUUUUUUAUUGUUUGUUGGUUUGGCAAUGCCACUGUCAGCCUGAGAAAUAUGCUGAGAAGGAUUAUCACCACAGCAAGCAAGGUACUGAGAGUCAAACAGACAGGCCUGGAUGAGAUUUUUAAAGUCAGGGCCCUCCCCAAUGUACUAGGAGUCAAACAGACAGGCCUGGAUGAGAUCUUUAAGGUCAGGACCCUCCCCAAGGUACUUGGAGUCAAACAGACAGGCCUGGAUGAGAUCUUUAAGGUCAGGGCCCUCUGUAAAGGCUCACAAAAUCAUUUUAGACCCAAGCCACCCCCUGUACCUGGACUUUGAACUACUCCCCUCUGGGCGCAGGUAUAAGGCAACCCUCAGCAGGAAAAACAGAACUAGACAAUCAUUUGUGCCAGGUGUGAUAUCACUCCUAAAUAACUCAGGCUAAUGUUCCUAUCCACUCAGUAAGGCCAGCAGGCUACUGUUCCUAUCCACCCAGUAAGACCAGCAGGCUAAAGUUCCUAUCCACCCAGUAAGGCCAACAGGCUCAUGUUCCUAUCCACCCAGUAAGACCAGCAGGCUCGUGUUCCUAUCCACCCAGUAAGGCCAGCAGGCUCAUGUUCCUAUCCACCCAAUAAGACCAGCAGGCUCAUGUUCCUAUCCACCCAGUAAGACAUAAAGUCAGUACAGUAAAAACAGCAGGCUCAUGUUCCUAUCCACCCAGUAAGACAUAAAGUCAGUACAGUAAGACCAGCAGGCUCAUGUUCCUAUCCACCCAGUAAGACAUAAAGUCAGUACAGUAAGACCAGCAGGCUAAUGUUCCUAUCCACCCAAUAAGACCAGCAGGCUAAUGUUCCUAUCCACCCAAUAAGACAUAAAGUCAGUACAGUAAGACCAGCAGGCUAAUGUUCCUAUCCACCCAAUAAGACCAGCAGGCUAAUGUUCCUAUCCACCCAAUAAGACCAGCAG